AACGAACGCUGGCGGCAUGCCUAACACAUGCAAGUCGAACGAUGCUUUCGGGCAUAGUGGCGCACGGGUGCGUAACGCGUGGGAAUCUGCCCUUGGGUUCGGAAUAACAGUGAGAAAUUGCUGCUAAUACCGGAUGAUGUCUUCGGACCAAAGAUUUAUCGCCCAGGGAUGAGCCCGCGUAGGAUUAGCUAGUUGGUGGGGUAAUGGCCUACCAAGGCGACGAUCCUUAGCUGGUCUGAGAGGAUGAUCAGCCACACUGGGACUGAGACACGGCCCAGACUCCUACGGGAGGCAGCAGUGGGGAAUAUUGGACACUGGGCGCAAGCCUGAUCCAGCAAUGCCGCGUGAGUGAUGAAGGCCUUAGGGUUGUAAAGCUCUUUUACCCGGGAUGAUAAUGACAGUACCGGGAGAAUAAGCUCCGGCUAACUCCGUG
RNAcentral lists this ribosomal RNA (433 nucleotides) under uncultured bacterium. RNAcentral describes it as "partial 16S ribosomal RNA". It matches the Rfam family "Bacterial small subunit ribosomal RNA", at positions 29 to 507 of the family's 1533-position model. The record is from RNAcentral.